Molecule: unclassified non-coding RNA, 4448 nt
Filed under: Hevea brasiliensis (rubber tree)
Lineage: Eukaryota; Viridiplantae; Streptophyta; Magnoliopsida; Malpighiales; Euphorbiaceae
Source: RNAcentral
AAAAAAAAAAAAAGAAAGAAGAAGAGGUGGACAAAUUCUGUGUAAAGGUAAAGAGAGCAGUCUUAUUUGAUAACAAACCAUUCAAUGAAAAUUGUUGCAAAGGCUCUCCACAUUUCAAAUAAGAAACCAUUUCUUUCCUACCAGCACCAUAUAAUGCAAUAAUUGGUUCCUACCUAUGCCACGCCUGAUCUUCUCAUCCCAUACAUUAAUGUCAAUUCUUGAUCAACUGUAUAACAGUAAUAGGUCCUCAAAGAGAACAACAAAGACAAUAAUUCCUUAACUAUUGUAUAGUGAAGCAAAAGAUAAUUGUUUCUCCAUCGAUUAUACAUGUAUAACAUGAAUAUACAAAUCUAUAAACCUUAUCCAUCAGAUUUUCCAUCAAGAGAAUCAUUCUGCAUAGUCAUCAAGUAUGCAAUGUCAAACAUUCUUCCAUGAAAAUAACUAUUGUUGGCAUCAUCAAAUACUUUGCAACAGAAUCCCAGAUGUCAUUUUCUUGUGUGUUCACAUAUACUAGAUUCUUUAACUUUUUUUUUUUUCAAUUUUUGAUGAAUGUGUGUAAAAACAUAAAUGUAAACAAAGGACAAAAGACCAUGGUUGCCCGAUAGCCAGUCUCCCUAUUGAUUUUCCAUAGCAUAUUCCUAAUAUGAUUAGAUCUACUAAAACAAACAAAAGGUGCAGUUGUUCCAUCCAACAUCUAGUGGCCUUCCAGAUUUGUGAUCAUACCAGUCCAUUUAGUUGCAUAAAAAACAACCAUUUUUUACUAAUACAUUGAGGAUUGACUUGACCACCUAUAUGGCCCUAACAUUUGAUGAGUUCCUUUCAUCUACUCAUAUUUUUCCCUCUUCCCCCUUUACUUUCUGGACAUGAACAGAAAAGAAAAAGAAGUAUAAAUAGCAAAGAUAAAAGAAAGAAGACGAUAAAGGAGCUACAAGGCAUUCAUAUCCCUCGAUAAAAGGCAAGUAGAUGCAAGGAGAGAGAAAAGAUAAAAGCUAUUACAAGUGCAUUUUCAAGCCUUUCCAGCUAAGAGAGAGCAAAUUGGAAAAAGAUGAUGAUUAUGAUGAAAAUGGAAAAAAGGAAAUAAGAGAAUUUUUGUUUCCUUUUUUACCAAUACAGAGUCUCCAUAGCAUUUACACGAAAAUAAGAAUAUCCCAGAUCAAAGCUUCCUAAUAUAAUAUAAUAAGGAGAUAAGAUGCAACCUAAGUAUUGGUAAAAAAUCUCCUGAAAUAAAAAGUUUGAUAGGAUUUAACCAAAUGCACCUCUUACCACAGUGGCCCAUAUAAAUGCAGUCUAUGCAGUCAAUCAGAUUUUACAUAUCUAAACUCAAAAUAAAUAUAUAAAUCUUGAAGGACAAAUAUUCUCAUCCCAUGAUGAAAAGAGAUUUUUCAUCAAGCUUCCAUCCUUGUAAGAGAUAUGACAUGGUAACAUGAUAGCAUAAAUUGUCACAAUCAUGUGAAUAGAGACUCAAACAAAAACUUGAACAAAUGGAUCCAGUGCCAAUUUGACCACAUAAUUUCCUUAAACAUAAAGAAAAUGGAGAAAGGAGAGAAUCAAGAUGAAAUUUUAAUGAAUUACAUAUGCAUCCAUAGGAGGUGAAAGUGGCACUCAUUAAAGAAAAGUAGAUAAAGGGGUGAAUGAAAUGGUUUGGACAUGUUAAUCGUAUACCAAUAAAUGCAACGGUACAGAAGAUUGAGCAUAUUGAAGUUGCAAAAGAGAAGAAAAUUGAAGGAAUUAGUGAUAAAAAGGAUGACAUAAGAUGAAGUGAUAGAAAAAGAUUUAGUAGCUCUAGACCUUUAUGGAGAUGUUAUCCUAAACUGGGAGGGAUGGAAAAAAAAGGACCCAUAUGGUAACCCAAAUUAGAUUAAGGCUUAGUUUAGUUGAAUACAUGUUCAUUAAACAUGAUCAACUCCUCCCUAUCUUCACUUUGCCAACACAUGGAGAGUGAUUUACAUAGAGAAAUCAUAUAGAUAAAACAGCAAGGAACGUUUGGACAAGUGGUGAAAAAGUAAGCACUUGCUCUUCAGAAAAAAGCAGUUGAGCUUGCAAAUGGGUAGAGUAAAUUGAACAGAUAAGUGAAAUCACCAGAACAAGACAGAAAGGUCAACAUCAGAAAUUGCAUAAUGCCUUAACAUAAUCCAGAUAUUUGAGCACACACAUGCACACACACACAUUGACACCAAUCAAUAUCCAGUAAUUAAAGUAAAGCAAGUGCAUGCAUAAGUUGAAAUGCUCACAGCAAUAAGACCACCAUUGCCAGGAAAACUCUCAGUCAAUGGAAGUUCCUCACUGGAUGGAAGCAAACCCUGCUUCUCAACCCACUGGCGAGCUACAUCAACAAGAUUGCCGCUGCUUCCUCUUGUACCCUCCUUUGCAGCAACAUCAGCUUUGUUCCCGAUGACGAUAAAAGGAACAGGAAGACCACCUGGACCCCCAGAACUGAGAGGAGCUGAAAAUGUCCCAGUUGCAGCAAUUUCAGAUGCCCAUUUCUGCAAGCUUGUUUUAGUUCUUCUCUGGGAGAGAUCAUGUACAAAAAUAACCCCAUUUAUCUGCGAGUAGAACAAAGACCGGCAAUCUUUAUAUCUGUCAUGCCCUGACACAUCCCAUAGUUCUACAAAGAAAUCUCUCUCUGCAUCACCUUUAAUGCUGCUUGAAGAGCUACCAGAAUUCAUGUAAGUAAUGUGCUUUACACCAACUGUACAUCCAACUGUCUGAGGAGGGCGAGCAACAGAAGAACCUUUGACAAUCAGAUGAACAAGAGAAGUUUUCCCGACACCUAACAAGGAUUAAGAUUAGAAAAGGAAGUCUGAUUCAAGAUGCAGAAAGAGGAACAUAAAGUACAAAAAAAAUGAGGGGGGAGUGGGAGGAUAAUCAAGUAUAAGUAACAAACAAAACUACAUGAAAUUAGAAUUAUUGUGAUAAAACUUGCAAAUCAUGAGUGUAGGAGAUGUUUGAGACUUACAAUCAACACUUCAAUUUAAGAUAAUUUAACAAGGUCAACCUAUUCAAGAAUUGAGGGCAUAAAGCAUUCUUGAAACAAAAGACUAGCCUUUAUUUUAACUCUAUAACCAAUGCUUGCUGUCCUUUAACCUUUUCAGAUAGAUUGACACAUUACAAAUCCUCAACCACAUGUGAUGUAAUAGGUGAUCCAGCCAAAACCCAAUAAAUCUUUAAAUCCACUACGGAAUAUUUACAUUGUCAAUAAUUACCAAGGCAGAUUCUGAACUUACAAAAGAAUCAUCAGCGAUAAGGCAUAAAAUUCCCACAAUUAUUUCACUAAUGGAAAUGCACUUCUAUCCCUAGAUGAAUCUCUAUACCACAUCAUAUACCAUUUCUCUUCCGCAUAAUUAUAUAAUUUGCGUAUUUGUCUCCAUGUUCCAUAUGUAUACACUUUGAAAGGCAGUUUUGAGAGGUAAUGGAAGGUUUUAAAAAUUUUAGGAAGCAUCUCUCCUUGUCUUGGAGAGCCACUGUAAUUGGAAUGGUAUAAUUUUGAGAGGGUUUCAUAACCUUCAAAAGCCCCCAAAACCCCAAUCUUAGGUUUGGCCUUGAAUGGGGAUACUAACCCAUCAUUUUCCAUCCCUCCCUCCAAACAAAAGACGGUUGCAUAGUUCAUUUCAUUUUCAUUUCCAUUCCCUUAGCUUACUUUAACACAUCUUAGAAUCAAAGAAAUAACAUGCCAGAAACAACAACAGGAAUCCAAAGCAAGCAAAAGAUCACAGAAGCAACCAAAAAUUGACCUGAAUCGCCAACAACAAGAACUCGAACCUGCCCGCAUGGCGGUCCACCGUUCUGGUUCUUGUUCUCCCUUUCACGAUCCCUCCAAAACAUUUUUUCUAUCUAGAACCCAGUAACCAAAACUCAACUUCUAAUCGAACCAGCAAAUACAAUUUCCAACGCAGUCACUUGCUUGUAACGAAUCAGGUCCCAUCAAGCAUACUCAAUCUAAUCGAGAAACAACAGAUUUUCCAAAAGGGUAUUCCAGAAGUAAAUCCAACACCCAUAUUACAUUAGAAUCGAAUCAAGAUCUAAGCUCACAUUGAAGAACCCAAAAGCGAAUAUGUUCUAACAGAACAAGUAAUGUUCCUAUAAAAUGCUUAAAGCCCAAUUACAAAAACAGAUCUGGUAACUAAUCUCCAGAUGGAUCUUUAUAAAAGACGAUAAUCAGAAGUGGGUUACUCUCGAAAUUCGUUCCAGAGCUCAGUACAUAAAGAAGAAGAGAUGUGGAAAUAGGGAGAUUACACACGAAUCUGUGACUUGAAAAUAAACAGGAAGUUAAACUUGAAGCUUCAAUAUUGUUUGGAAUAUUGGGGUUUUAGGGAGGAAGCGAUCCGAGAACAGAAAAAGGCGAAAACAAGAUAAAACGGUGCGCAAAAUAGAUUGGAUUUGGAUGGGUGAUGGGUUGGAUCUCAAGUUUCUGCCGCUGGGUGCGACCCCAAAAUCAAGGGAAAUUCACA